Molecule: long non-coding RNA, 553 nt
Filed under: Homo sapiens (human)
Lineage: Eukaryota; Metazoa; Chordata; Mammalia; Primates; Hominidae
Description: non-protein coding lnc-MFAP3-1:6
Source: RNAcentral
GAUUCCAGGGUCUGAGAGAGAGCCAAGAUGAAUAUGGCCUUCCAAGAAGACAUGCUGACAAGAAAAGACUCAGAGUGCCCAGGAGCUUCCCCUUCCUACCAACCCUGCAGCCUGGAACCCUAGCCAUACCUCUCCCUGACUGUGGACAGUACAGCCUUUGAGCUGAGCCAAGCUGCUCCCCUGGCGAUUUCCAUAAGAGUACCACUUAUCAGCACCUUGGACAGCAUACAAAUGAUUCUGCAUCUCCAGAAAUUGUCACAGCCACCCCAACCUUCAGCUACCACUACCCUGAUUCAUCAGCAUCAAUACCAAGGCAACAUCCUCCACCAGAAAAAGAUUACAACUCAAGCACAUUCACCUGGGGAUCUGGCAAGAUGGCUGAAUAGCAACAGCUCCAGUCUGCAGCUCCCAGUGAGACCAACACAGAAGGUGGGUGAUUUCUGCAUUUCCAACUGAGGUACCCAGCACAUCUCAGUGCGACUGAUUAGACAGUGGGUGCAGCCCACGGAGGGUGAGCCAAAGCAGGGUGGGACAUCGCCUAACCCAGGAAGCU